AAACAAGAGCUUAUAAAAAGAAGAAAAAAUACAACCUUCUUUCAACAACCUUUGGUUUAUGGUAAAUCCUAUGUCAUUGAUCACAGUGAGAUUUAGUUCCACAUGGAAUAAUUAGUGGAAGGUCGAUAGGUUGGUAUAGAUAACUGGGCUCAAAAUUUAACGGCUUGGACUUUUAUGUUGAACCGGCUAGCGCCAACUUGGAUACCAAAGUCUUCCCCUAAUUAGACUCUAACUCCACCUCCCUAAUAGAAGAAAUCAAAGCCAACGGCUGACAAUCCUAAACUCUGAAAUUGUGAAGGUGCCAGCAAAGCCAAGUCAUGGUAGCUAUAGGUUAUAUACCAAG
This 343-nucleotide long non-coding RNA is filed under the name Elaeis guineensis (African oil palm). RNAcentral describes it as "long non-coding RNA (EGUI_LNC006558)". Lineage: Eukaryota; Viridiplantae; Streptophyta; Magnoliopsida; Arecales; Arecaceae. The record is from RNAcentral.